CCUACGGGAGGCUGCAGUGAGGAAUAUUGGUCAAUGGACGAGAGUCUGAACCAGCCAAGUAGCGUGAAGGAUGACUGCCCUAUGGGUUGUAAACUUCUUUUAUAUGGGAAUAAAAUGUUCCACGUGUGGGAUUUUGUAUGUACCCUAUGAAUAAGGAUCGGCUAACUCCGUGCCAGCAGCCGCGGUACUACGGAGGAUCCGAGCGUUAUCCGGAUUUAUUGGGUUUAAAGGGAGCGUAGGUGGAUUGUUAAGUCAGUUGUGAAAGUUUGCGGCUCAACCGUAAAAUUGCAGUUGAAACUGGCAGUCUUGAGUACAGUAGAGGUGGGCGGAAUUCGUGGUGUAGCGGUGAAAUGCUUAGAUAUCACGAAGAACUCCGAUUGCGAAGGCAGUUCACUGGACUGCAACUGACACUGAGGCUCGAAAGUGUGGGUAUCAAACAGGAUUAGAUACCCCUGUAGUC
RNAcentral lists this ribosomal RNA (460 nucleotides) under uncultured bacterium. Its description in RNAcentral is "partial 16S ribosomal RNA". It matches the Rfam family "Bacterial small subunit ribosomal RNA", at positions 338 to 795 of the family's 1533-position model. The record is from RNAcentral.